RNAcentral lists this ribosomal RNA (520 nucleotides) under Pseudoalteromonas shioyasakiensis. RNAcentral's name for it is "bacterial SSU rRNA". It matches the Rfam family "Bacterial small subunit ribosomal RNA", at positions 93 to 610 of the family's 1533-position model. The record is from RNAcentral. Lineage: Bacteria; Pseudomonadati; Pseudomonadota; Gammaproteobacteria; Alteromonadales; Pseudoalteromonadaceae.
GAGCGGCGGACGGGUGAGUAAUGCUUGGGAAUAUGCCUUAUGGUGGGGGACAACAGUUGGAAACGACUGCUAAUACCGCAUGAUGUCUACGGACCAAAGUGGGGGACCUUCGGGCCUCACGCCAUAAGAUUAGCCCAAGUGGGAUUAGCUAGUUGGUGAGGUAAUGGCUCACCAAGGCGACGAUCCCUAGCUGGUUUGAGAGGAUGAUCAGCCACACUGGGACUGAGACACGGCCCAGACUCCUACGGGAGGCAGCAGUGGGGAAUAUUGCACAAUGGGCGCAAGCCUGAUGCAGCCAUGCCGCGUGUGUGAAGAAGGCCUUCGGGUUGUAAAGCACUUUCAGUAAGGAGGAAAGGUUAAGUGUUAAUAGCACUUAGCUGUGACGUUACUUACAGAAGAGCACCGGCUAACUCCGUGCCAGCAGCCGCGGUAAUACGGAGGGUGCGAGCGUUAAUCGGAAUUACUGGGCGUAAAGCGUACGCAGGCGGUUUGUUAAGCGAGAUGUGAAAGCCCCGGGCUC